RNAcentral lists this ribosomal RNA (440 nucleotides) under uncultured bacterium. RNAcentral describes it as "partial 16S ribosomal RNA". It matches the Rfam family "Bacterial small subunit ribosomal RNA", at positions 338 to 795 of the family's 1533-position model. The record is from RNAcentral.
CCUACGGGUGGCAGCAGUGGGGAAUAUUGCACAAUGGGGGAAACCCUGAUGCAGCGACGCCGCGUGAGUGAAGAAGUAAUUCGUUAUGUAAAGCUCUAUCAGCAGGGAAGAAAAUGACGGUACCUGAGUAAGAAGCCCCGACUAACUACGGGCCAGCAGCCGCGGUAAUACGUAGGGGGCAAGCGUUAUCCGGAUUUACUGGGUGUAAAGGGAGCGUAGACGGCAGUGCAAGUCUGGAGUGAAAGGUGGGGGCUCAACCCCCGGACUGCUCUGGAAACUGUACGGCUUGAGUGCAGGAAAGGUAAGUGGAAUUCGUGGUGUAGCGGUGAAAUGCGUAGAUAUUAGGAGGAACCCCAGUGGCGAAGGCAGCUUACUGGACUGUAACUGACGUUGAUGCUCGAAAGCGUGGGUAGCGAACAGGAUUAGAUACCCCAGUAGUC